Bradysia coprophila is the source of this 263-nucleotide long non-coding RNA. RefSeq lists it as uncharacterized. The record is from RefSeq and is a predicted model, not a curated record. Lineage: Eukaryota; Metazoa; Arthropoda; Insecta; Diptera; Sciaridae.
UCGUACAACUUUCUUUGGUGACAACAUUUUACGUUGCAUUUUCCCUUCAGCAAAGUUGUACGAUACAAAGUAACAAAGACAUCGCUUUACCAGAUCUAGCUGAAAGAAAUGGACAGAGACUGGAAAAUUGUUGCAAUAUCUGCCGAGACACACCUCAGUGCCAGGGAUAUGCGUGGAAUGACUACAGAGGUGGUGCCUGUUGGUUGAAGGCUGGAACUGGUCCAAUCGUUCAAAAGAACGGGGUUAGUGUCGGAACUUUAGGU